CCUACGGGGGCUGCAGUGGGGAAUAUUGGACAAUGGGCGAAAGCCUGAUCCAGCCAUGCCGCGUGUGUGAAGAAGGCCUUCGGGUUGUAAAGCACUUUCAGUGGGGAAGAAAGCCUUGGGGCUAAUACCCUCGAGGAAGGACAUCACCCACAGAAGAAGCACCGGCUAACUCCGUGCCAGCAGCCGCGGUAAUACGGAGGGGUGCGAGCGUUAAUCGGAAUUACUGGGCGUAAAGCGCGCGUAGGCGGUCUGAUAAGCCGGUUGUGAAAGCCCCGGGCUCAACCUGGGAACGGCAUCCAGAACUGUCAGGCUAGAGUGCAGGAGAGGAAGGUAGAAUUCCCGGUGUAGCGGUGAAAUGCGUAGAGAUCGGGAGGAAUACCAGUGGCGAAGGCGGCCUUCUGGACUGACACUGACGCUGAGGUGCGAAAGCGUGGGUAGCAAACAGGAUUAGAUACCCCAGUAGUC
RNAcentral lists this ribosomal RNA (465 nucleotides) under Vreelandella stevensii. Its description in RNAcentral is "partial 16S ribosomal RNA". It matches the Rfam family "Bacterial small subunit ribosomal RNA", at positions 338 to 795 of the family's 1533-position model. Lineage: Bacteria; Pseudomonadati; Pseudomonadota; Gammaproteobacteria; Oceanospirillales; Halomonadaceae. The record is from RNAcentral.